RNAcentral lists this ribosomal RNA (484 nucleotides) under uncultured bacterium. RNAcentral describes it as "partial 16S ribosomal RNA". It matches the Rfam family "Bacterial small subunit ribosomal RNA", at positions 30 to 507 of the family's 1533-position model. The record is from RNAcentral.
AUUGAACGCUGGCGGCAGGCCUAACACAUGCAAGUCGAGCGGAUGAAGGGAGCUUGCUCCUGGAUUCAGCGGCGGACGGGUGAGUAAUGCCUAGGAAUCUGCCUGGUAGUGGGGGAUAACGUCCGGAAACGGGCGCUAAUACCGCAUACGUCCUGAGGGAGAAAGUGGGGGAUCUUCGGACCUCACGCUAUCAGAUGAGCCUAGGUCGGAUUAGCUAGUUGGUGGGGUAAAGGCCUACCAAGGCGACGAUCCGUAACUGGUCUGAGAGGAUGAUCAGUCACACUGGAACGUGGAUCCGGUCCAGACUCCUACGGGAGGCAGCAGGGGGGAAUAUUGGACAAUGGGCGAAAGCCUGAUCCAGCCAUGCCGCGUGUGUGAAGAAGGUCUUCGGAUUGUAAAGCACUUUAAGUUGGGAGAAAGGGCAGUAAGUUAAUACCUUGCUGUUUUGACGUUACCAACAGAAUAAGCACCGGCUAACUUCGUG